UACGUAGGUGGCAAGCGUUGUCCGGAAUUAUUGGGCGUAAAGCGCGCGCAGGCGGCCUCUUAAGUCUGAUGUGAAAUCUUAGCGGGCUCAACCCGGCAAGCGGCCUAUUAGGAAACUGGGGGGCUUGAGUACAGAAGAGGAGAGUGGAAUUCCACGUGUAGCGGUAGAAAUGCGUAGAUAUGUGGAGGAACACCAGUGGCGAAGGCGACUGCUCUGGUCUGUAACUGACGCUGAAGGCGCGGAAAGCGUGGGGGAGCAAACAAGG
This 265-nucleotide ribosomal RNA is filed under the name uncultured bacterium. RNAcentral describes it as "partial 16S ribosomal RNA". It matches the Rfam family "Bacterial small subunit ribosomal RNA", at positions 524 to 777 of the family's 1533-position model. The record is from RNAcentral.